UGCAAGCCGAGCGGUAGAGGUCUUUCGGGAUCUUGAGAGCGGCGUACGGGUGCGGAACACGUGUGCAACCUGCCUUUAUCAGGGGGAUAGCCUUUCGAAAGGAAGAUUAAUACCCCAUAAUAUAUUGAGUGGCAUCACUUAAUAUUGAAAACUCCGGUGGAUAGAGAUGGGCACGCGCAAGAUUAGAUAGUUGGUGAGGUAACGGCUCACCAAGUCUGCGAUCUUUAGGGGGCCUGAGAGGGUGAUCCCCCACACUGGUACUGAGACACGGACCAGACUCCUACGGGAGGCAGCAGUGAGGAAUAUUGGACAAUGGGUGCGAGCCUGAUCCAGCCAUCCCGCGUGAAGGACGACGGCCCUAUGGGUUGUAAACUUCUUUUGUAUAGGGAUAAACCUACUCUCGUGAGAGUAGCUGAAGGUACUAUACGAAUAAGCACCGGCUAACUCCGUGCCAGCAGCCGCGGUAAUACGGAGGGUGCAAGCGUUAUCCGGAUUUAUUGGGUUUAAAGGGUCCGUAGGCGGAUCUGUAAGUCAGUGGUGAAAUCUCACAGCUUAACUGUGAAACUGCCAUUGAUACUGCAGGUCUUGAGUGUUGUUGAAGUAGCUGGAAUAAGUAGUGUAGCGGUGAAAUGCAUAGAUAUUACUUAGAACACCAAUUGCGAAGGCAGGUUACUAAGCAACAACUGACGCUGAUGGACGAAAGCGUGGGGAGCGAACAGGAUUAGAUACCCUGGUAGUCCACGCCGUAAACGAUGCUAACUCGUUUUUGGGUUUUCGGAUUCAGAGACUAAGCGAAAGUGAUAAGUUAGCCACCUGGGGAGUACGAACGCAAGUUUGAAACUCAAAGGAAUUGACGGGGGCCCGCACAAGCGGUGGAUUAUGUGGUUUAAUUCGAUGAUACGCGAGGAACCUUACCAAGGCUUAAAUGGGAAAUGACAGGCUUAGAAAUAGGCUUUUCUUCGGACAUUUUUCAAGGUGCUGCAUGGUUGUCGUCAGCUCGUGCCGUGAGGUGUUAGGUUAAGUCCUGCAACGAGCGCAACCCCUGUCACUAGUUGCCAUCAUUAAGUUGGGGACUCUAGUGAGACUGCCUACGCAAGUAGAGAGGAAGGUGGGGAUGACGUCAAAUCAUCACGGCCCUUACGCCUUGGGCCACACACGUAAUACAAUGGCCGGUACAGAGGGCAGCUACACUGCGAAGUGAUGCAAAUCUCGAAAGCCGGUCUCAGUUCGGAUUGGAGUCUGCAACUCGACUCUAUGAAGCUGGAAUCGCUAGUAAUCGCGCAUCAGCCAUGGCGCGGUGAAUACGUUCCCGGGCCUUGUACACACCGCCCGUCAAGCCAUGGAAGUCUGGGGUACCUGAAGUCGGUGACCGUAACAGGAGCUGC
RNAcentral lists this ribosomal RNA (1385 nucleotides) under Chryseobacterium gleum. RNAcentral's name for it is "bacterial SSU rRNA". It matches the Rfam family "Bacterial small subunit ribosomal RNA". Lineage: Bacteria; Pseudomonadati; Bacteroidota; Flavobacteriia; Flavobacteriales; Weeksellaceae. The record is from RNAcentral.